This 580-nucleotide ribosomal RNA is filed under the name Dujonia zeylanoides. Its description in RNAcentral is "[Candida] zeylanoides partial large subunit ribosomal RNA". It matches the Rfam family "Eukaryotic large subunit ribosomal RNA", at positions 57 to 653 of the family's 3401-position model. Lineage: Eukaryota; Fungi; Ascomycota; Pichiomycetes; Serinales; Debaryomycetaceae. The record is from RNAcentral.
AAAAGAAACCAACAGGGAUUGCCUCAGUAACGGCGAGUGAAGCGGCAAAAGCUCAAAUUUGAAAUCUAGCACUUUCAGUGUUCGAGUUGUAAUUUGAAGAAGGUAACUUUGGUUUUGGCUCUUGUCUAUGUUCCUUGGAACAGGACGUCACAGAGGGUGAGAAUCCCGUGCGAUGAGAUGCCCAAUUCCAUGUAAAGUGCUUUCGAAGAGUCGAGUUGUUUGGGAAUGCAGCUCUAAGUGGGUGGUAAAUUCCAUCUAAAGCUAAAUAUUGGCGAGAGACCGAUAGCGAACAAGUACAGUGAUGGAAAGAUGAAAAGAACUUUGAAAAGAGAGUGAAAAAGUACGUGAAAUUGUUGAAAGGGAAGGGCUUGAGAUCAGACUUGGUAUUUUGCGUUCCCUUCCUUUUUGGUUGGGUUCCUCGCAGUUUACUGGGCCAGCAUCGGUUUGGAUGGUAGGAUAAUGACAUUGGAAUGUAGCUUUACUUCGGUGAAGUGUUAUAGACUUUGUUGAUACUGCCUAUCUAGACCGAGGACUGCGUCUUUGACUAGGAUGCUGGCGUAAUGAUCUUAAGCCGCCCGUC